This 862-nucleotide ribosomal RNA is filed under the name Scolecobasidium blechni. Its description in RNAcentral is "partial large subunit ribosomal RNA". It matches the Rfam family "Eukaryotic large subunit ribosomal RNA", at positions 87 to 956 of the family's 3401-position model. Lineage: Eukaryota; Fungi; Ascomycota; Dothideomycetes; Venturiales; Sympoventuriaceae. The record is from RNAcentral.
CGGCGAGUGAAGCGGCAACAGCUCAAAUUUGAAAUCUGGGGUCUUGCGGCCUCCGAGUUGUAGUUUGCAGAGGGAGCCUCGGAGGGCUUGUCGGUCCAAGUGCCUUGGAACAGGAUACCGCAGAGGGUGAGAGUCCCGUAUCCGGCCGACGUAGCGCUCCGUGUGAGGCCUCUUCGACGAGUCGAGUUGUUUGGGAAUGCAGCUCCAAGCGGGUGGUAAAUUCCAUCUAAAGCUAAAUACUGGCCAGAGACCGAUAGCGAACAAGUAGAGUGAUCGAAAGAUGAAAAGCACUUUGAAAAGAGAGUCAAACAGUACGUGAAAUUGUUGAAAGGGAAGCGCAUGGGGGCAGACUUGGCCGCGGGGUUCAGGGUGUCUUUUGUGGCGCCUGUACUUCCCCGCGGACAGGCCAGCAUCGGUUCCGGGGGCCGGACAAAGGCGACGGGAAGGUGGCUCUCCUCGGAGAGUGUUAUAGCCCGACGUGCAAUGCGGCCACCUGGGACCGAGGACCGCGCCUUGUGCAAGGAUGCUGGCGUAAUGGCCUCAUGCGGCCCGUCUUGAAACACGGACCAAGGAGUCUAACAUCUAUGCGAGUGUUUGGGUGAUUGAAGCCCGGACGCGCAAUGAAAGUGAACGGAGGUGGGAGCGUCUUUUGCUGGGCGCGCACCAUCGACCGAUCCGGACGUUUUCUGAAGGAUUUGAGUAAGAGCAUAGCUGUUGGGACCCGAAAGAUGGUGAACUAUGCGUGAAUAGGGUGAAGCCAGAGGAAACUCUGGUGGAGGCUCGCAGCGGUUCUGACGUGCAAAUCGAUCGUCAAAUUUGCGUAUAGGGGCGAAAGACUAAUCGAACCAUCUAGUAGCUGGGU